This 468-nucleotide ribosomal RNA is filed under the name uncultured bacterium. RNAcentral's name for it is "partial 16S ribosomal RNA". It matches the Rfam family "Bacterial small subunit ribosomal RNA", at positions 28 to 507 of the family's 1533-position model. The record is from RNAcentral.
GACGAACGCUGGCGGCGUGCUUAACACAUGCAAGUCGAACGGAAAGGCCCUGCUUUUGUGGGGUGCUCGAGUGGCGAACGGGUGAGUAACACGUGAGUAUCCUGCCCUUGACUUUGGGAUAACUUCAGGAAACUGGGGCUCAUACCGGAUAGGAGCUCCUGCUGCAUGGUGGGGGUUGGAAAGUUUCGGCGGUUUGGGAUGGACUCGCGGCUUAUCCGCUUGUUGGUGGGGUAGUGGCUUACCAAGGCUUUGACGGGUAGCCGGCCUGAGAGGGUGACCGGCCACAUUGGUACUGAGAGACGGCCCAGAAGCCUACGGGAGGCAGCAGGGGGGAAUAUUGCACAAUGGGCGGAAGCCUGAUGCAGCAACGCCGCGUGCGGGAUGACGGCCUUCGGGUUGUAAACCGCUUUCGCCUGUGACGAAGCGUGAGUGACGGUAAUGGGUAAAGAAGCACCGGCUAACUACGUG